CCCGCCCCGGGCCCGCCCCCUUCCUGGGCGCCCCGCCCCCCGGACUUCCCUCUUCCGCCGGGAAGGGGCCGCGCUCUCCGGCCCAGCUCCGCGCCGAGGCCUGCUCGGGGCGGGGGUGGAGGUGGAGUGAAGUUCCGCGAGCUCCUUCCGCCUGUCCCACUUGUACGAACUGGUCUAACGCGGAGGCCCAGAGCCGAGCGGCGGGGGUGGGGGCGACCACAGCGGUGCGGUCCCGGAGCGAGCGGUGGAGACUGCUCUUGGUCCCGCUCUCCUUAGGUGAAGCUGCGUCCUCCUACCACCCAAGAUGGGGUGAAGUGCGUCGCUGCGGGUGCACACAUGUGACCCCCCCAACCUACGGCACCGUCGGAACUUUCCCUUGAGUGAGCAGCCGCAGAAGCCUGAGACUCUCACUGUGCCUGAUUAGCGAGGCUGGGGUGGGGGUGGGGGGUGCUUUCUAGCAUAGGGUUUUGUUUUUAUUUAUGUAUUUAUUUUACCUUUGCAAGAAGACUUUUAUCCUAUUUUGUGUAUGAAAAGCGUACAGGCUACUUUGGAGGUUGCAAUGCCUCUCUUUGAAAUCUUCCCUCCUUUUUUUUUUUUUUUUUUGGUAGAAAAAGUCAUGAAAUGCUUUUACAGUGUUUAGCCUGUGGGAUUUAGUACUUUUCAGAGAAAUUACCUCAGUAGAAUGGACGCUCUAACUUGAGCCCUGUUGGGCAGUGUCACCCAGGCCUGGCCUGGCUGGGACAGGCCUGUCCUUCUGUUUGGAUGGAGGCCCUUGGAUGAGGGCAGGCAUUUCACAGCCGCUUAAUCCCACAUCUAAGGCUGCUGAGACCAGAGCCAUUUGGAGCUGGAGUGGACCUGGACGUCCUGUGCUGAAAGGCACUCAGAGGCCGCUGAGCACCAGGCUCCUCUCAGCCACUACCGCCUCUUCCUCCCAGCUGGCUGAACAGAAUUCAGCACCUGUAGAAUGUGUGUUAUGUGCCAGUGUCAAUCUGAGGAACAGAGGCUCUCAGAGAAAUUUAUUCUGAGUAGGGCAUUGCCUUGGGAAUACAUGUGCCACAGUCAACUGUUACGUCACAUUCAGGGAGAAAAAGGAAGACCAGGGCUUUUAAAGGGAAAAAGGGGAGGAUUAAAUAAUUGUUUUGAGAUCUGGGGCAACAGAGAUCAAUAACAAAGGGGACAGCUGUCUGGGGCUAGGCAGGCAGUCACUGGGCAGACAUCCUUGCAGAAGUAUUUUUUGUGUAAGGCUUCUAUGGCCUUUGUGUGAGGCCGUGGCUUUUCCAGGGUGCUUGAUGUUAGCAGGCAUGCAGGCGUGAGGACCCCCUUCCUGGCUUCCCCAGCUCUGCGUGUCAAGAGGUUCUCAGCAUGAGUGAUUCUGCUUGGAUUCUAAUAGUGUUCCCACAGAACGCCAAGCCUGGGGGCACACAGACAUAGUUACGGUUUGGUUCCUGCCCUCCAGCGGGUCACAGUCACCAAACUAAACCAUGGCCUCAACCUUGAGCUUGCGAGUAGGUCUGAAUGGCCGCUGUGCAGGUCAGGCUCACAGAGGGGCAGUGGAGCCUCAGACAGCCUGGAGCCAGUUGCUCAGAUGCCAUCUGUGUGACCGGCCUCCCACCACUGGCCACAGUGGGGCCUGAGAGCUUUUGGAUACAGAGGCAGUUCUGGAGGCUGCCAUCUACGAUUUAAGGUGCUGGUGGGUUCGGUGUCUGGUGAGGCCUAUUCCUCACAUCUCAGAGGAGCAGAAGGGCCCUGCUCAGCCUCACUGACAAGAGCGCACUAAUCCAGCCACGCAGGGUGCCAGCAGGUUGAUCACACUCCAAAGGUCUCACCUCUCCAUAGCAUCACCUUGGGGUUAGGUCUUCAGUGCGGGGACAGUCACAGCCCGGCACAUACACAGCUAGAACAACACAGGGAGUAUUUGGGUCCUCACUGCCGCACACAACCCACACACAGGGUGCUGCCCACUCUGUGCUCUGUGGGUGACCAGGCCUGGCUGCACAGCUCUGCUGGAUGAGGUCCAAGCUCUUAGCUGAGCACAGAGGCCCUGCUCACUCCCAGGCUGUAACCUGCUAUUUCAGGUGUCUCCCUGCUGCACAUGGUUUUCUCCGUGAGUCUCAGACACACAUGAUGUCACUGCCUGGCAUUCUGAUUCUCAUACGAUCCUCCCCUGUCAGCCCUGGGCUCCGACCCAUGGGGCCCUACAAGCGCAUUCCUUCUGGAACCUCCUGGGAAAGCUCCCGAGAGACCCGUGGCAGGAACAUCAGAGUCUCUCUGCCUCCUGGGUGCCUUCUGUGACGGUCAUCCCUCCUGCUGGAUUGAGAACUUCUGCGGAGAGGACGGAGCUAUGUUGCCCUGGACAGCUGAGUCAGACAGGAAGCAUCCCCUCAUCAGGACCAGGCAGCGUCUGGGAAGCCCAAAGUCUGUCCUCAGAGAGGCCGGCAGCUUGGGAAGAGGUCCCCGGCUGUAAAACGGGAUCUGGGACCACGUAAGAGCUACAGAAUUCAAAUGCAAGCCAGGGGGACUCUUGGAAGCCUGGAAGCAGGUAGGGAAAAGACGGCAAAAAUAUGUGCGCCAAAACAAAACACCAUUUUCCAGAGACAUGAAUGCAAGAGCCGAUACCAAUGUUGAAACAUGUUCCAUAUUUCAUGGUAUAUUAAGUGAAACAAGUACUUCCCAAAAGAAAAUGUCUUUAAAAUGCAAAACAAAAAUUUAAGAACAAAACAUGAAUGAACCCUAAUGAAAAGCCUGAGCUGGUUAACAGUUGAUCUGUGCACGGUGAGAUCCAGCUUACCUAUGUCCUGUUUUUAUUUUCUACAUUAAAUAUGCAUCACUCUCAUAAUUCACACAGAAAAGAAGCUAUGCGUAUGUGUCUCUGUGUGUACAUGUGCAUAGACAGAUCGGUGGUUCAUAAACAGAUGGUAGAUAAUGGACAUGUCUGAAAAAGGAGAAAGAUAAUGAAGGCAGUUUUAAUUAAUAGACUCGUAUUUUAGCAGCUCUAGGUUUACAGAAACAUUGAGCAAUACAGAGUUCCCAGCCAGGUGCAGUGGCACACCUCUGUAAUCCCAGCUCUUUGGGAGGUCGAGAUGGGAGGGCUCUGGAGUUUAGGACCAGCCCAAGCAAGAGAGGGACCCUGUCUUUACUAAAAAUAGGAAAAUUAGCUGAGAGUGGUGGCAGAUACCUGUAGUCCCAUCUACUCAGGAGGCUGAGGCAUUAGGUUUACUUGAGUCCAAGAGUUUGGGGUUGAGGCUGGGUGCGGUGGCUUAUGCCUGUAAUCCUAGCCCUCUGGGAGGCUGAGGUGGGUGGAUUGCCUGAGCUCACAGGUUUGAGACCAGCCUGAGCCAGAGCGAGAUCUUGUCUCUAAAAAUAGCCAGGCAUUAUGGCAGGUGCCUGUAGUCCUAGCUGCUCAGGAGUCUGAGGCAAGAGAAUCACUUGAGCCCAGGAGUUUGAAGUUGCUGUGAGCUAGACGACAUGGCACUCUACCAAGGGCGACAAAGUGAGACUCUGUCCACCCCCCCAAAAAAAAUAAAAGAGUUUGGGGUUGCU
Nycticebus coucang (slow loris) is the source of this 3540-nucleotide long non-coding RNA. RefSeq lists it as uncharacterized. NCBI's taxonomy places the organism in Eukaryota, Metazoa, Chordata, Mammalia, Primates, Lorisidae. The record is from RefSeq and is a predicted model, not a curated record. The transcript is spliced from 3 exons.